This 286-nucleotide ribosomal RNA is filed under the name uncultured bacterium. RNAcentral describes it as "partial 16S ribosomal RNA". It matches the Rfam family "Bacterial small subunit ribosomal RNA", at positions 335 to 618 of the family's 1533-position model. The record is from RNAcentral.
UGGCCUACGGGAGGCAGCAGUGAGGAAUAUUGGUCAAUGGCCGAGAGGCUGAACCAGCCAAGUCGCGUGAGGGAAGACGGCCCUACGGGUUGUAAACCUCUUUUGUCGGGGAGCAAAGCGAACCACGUGUGGUUCAUUGAGAGUACCCGAAGAAAAAGCAUCGGCUAACUCCGUGCCAGCAGCCGCGGUAAUACGGAGGAUGCGAGCGUUAUCCGGAUUUAUUGGGUUUAAAGGGUGCGCAGGCGGGCUGUUAAGCCGGCGGGAAAACUUCAGGGCUCAACCCUGU